UAUAGAGGUAUGUGACUGUAGGUGGAGGUAUACAUGCAUGUGACUGUAGGUGGAGGUAAAGAGGCAUGUGACUGUAGGUGGAGGUAAAGAGGCAUGUGACUGUAGGUGAAGGUAUGUGACUGUAGGUGGAGGUAUGUGACUGUAGGUGGAGGUAGAGAGGUAUGUGACUGUAGGUGGAGGUGUAGAGGUAUGUGACUGUAGGUGGAGGUAUGUGACUGUAGGUGGAGGUAUGGGACUGUAGGUGGAGGUAUAGAGGCAUGUGACUGUAGGUGGAGGUAUAGAGGUAUGUGACUGUAGGUGGAGGUAUGUGACUGUAGGUGGAGGUAUGUGACUGUAGGUGGAGGUAUGUGACUGUAGGUGGAGGUAAAGAGGUAUGUGACUGUAGGUGGAGGUAUAGAGGUAUGUGACUGUAGGUGGAGGUAUAGAGGUAUGGGACUGUAGGUGGAGGUAUGUGACUGUAGGUGGAGGUAUAGAGGUAUGUGACUGUAGGUGGAGGUAUGUGACUGUAGGUGGAGGUAUAGAGGUAUGUGACUGUAGGUACAGGUAUAGAGG
Oncorhynchus keta (chum salmon) is the source of this 552-nucleotide long non-coding RNA. RefSeq lists it as uncharacterized. The record is from RefSeq and is a predicted model, not a curated record. The transcript has 3 exons. Lineage: Eukaryota; Metazoa; Chordata; Actinopteri; Salmoniformes; Salmonidae.